UGGAAAAAAUGAUCAGACCUUCAUAGUUGAUACAGCCGUUUGCAUCUUCCUGUCCUGCCAUUAGAUGUUCUACCUCUGAUUCUGUCAUCUUCUCACCUGCGGGCAAGACAUGUGACACACUGUGGGUGCUUGUUUCUGGUGUUAAUCUCAAGACUCGCAAGCCCUCAACAAAGUCCUCAAACGUGCCCUGAUCUUUGGACUUGGACACGUGUUGGAACAUAGCCAGGAAAGUCUCGAAGUCUAUCAGUUUGGUGUUCAUUUCUAGAGAAAAUGGGUAUUGCAAACACAUUAAAAAAAAUAUUCAUUUUAAUUGUGCAACGUUUAGCCUACGGCCAAAGCACAGUUUAUUUCUCUCACCCUCAGGUUUGGGUUUGCCAAGUACUUUGAUGACCUCAGCAUUUGUAGGAUUCUGACCCAACGCCCUCAUGACAUCACCACACUGGGCAGAGACAAGAGAACAGGAAUGCUAAGCUGUAAUAUGGAAGACACCAGCUUGGAAGGCCGUAUGACCACAUGGAGGCUCUUUCAUUCUGACC
This is a long non-coding RNA of Rhinichthys klamathensis goyatoka, 536 nucleotides long. RefSeq lists it as uncharacterized. Lineage: Eukaryota; Metazoa; Chordata; Actinopteri; Cypriniformes; Leuciscidae. The transcript is spliced from 3 exons. The record is from RefSeq and is a predicted model, not a curated record.